This 307-nucleotide ribosomal RNA is filed under the name uncultured eukaryote. Its description in RNAcentral is "partial 18S ribosomal RNA". It matches the Rfam family "Eukaryotic small subunit ribosomal RNA", at positions 1470 to 1796 of the family's 1831-position model. The record is from RNAcentral.
CCCUUAGACGUUCUGGGCCGCACGCGCGCUACACUGACACAGGCAACGAGCUUUCCUUUACCGAAAGGUAUGGGUAAUCUUUUGAAACUGUGUCGUGCUGGGGAUAGAUCCUUGCAAUUUUUGAUCUUAAACGAGGAAUUCCUAGUAAGCGCGAGUCAUCAACUCGCGUUGAUUACGUCCCUGCCCUUUGUACACACCGCCCGUCGCUACUACCGAUUGAAUGGCUUAGUGUGGCCUCAGGAUCCGCGCUUAAUGUGUGGAGAAUUUGGACAAACUACGUCAUUUAGAGGAAGUAAAAGUCGUAACA